Molecule: long non-coding RNA, 472 nt
Filed under: Phoenix dactylifera (date palm)
Lineage: Eukaryota; Viridiplantae; Streptophyta; Magnoliopsida; Arecales; Arecaceae
Description: long non-coding RNA (PDAC_LNC005286)
Source: RNAcentral
GCCAGGAAUGACCACAUCCUUCAAGGCAUGAGUCAAAGUGCUAGAGUGAUUCUUCUUAGAGCAUCCAUGUAUGUUCACGAGUUUAUUCAUACGACUAAUCUAGAGGGACCUUUAUAGUAGGGAAAACUUGUAACUCUUUUCAUGCAAGUUCAACAUUCCUAUAGGUGACAUUUUUCUUGGGAGCCACUAUCCUCUUAUUUUCUCAAGGUUAACUUCAUGGUAGUAUACAUGAGAAAGAUACUUUUGGUGGAGCAGGCUUCGUUAUUAGGAGUGCUAGUGGUGCUCUAAUAGCAGCAGGGAGAGUCAAAAUCUUUAAUACUACAGUUCUGAUGGCGGAAUUAUGUACUACUUGGAAAUGGCUAACUUAUGCUUCAAAGUUAUUAAGGACUUUCCAUAUUUAUUUAGAGGGGGAGUCUUUGAUAAUUAUUAGUGGCUUUGAUUCGACAUCUAUAGAUACCAAAUCUUAUCCUUG